GGGUUGUGAGGUUAAGCGACUAAGCGUACACGGUGGAUGCCCUGGCAGUCAGAGGCGAUGAAGGGCGUGCUAAUCUGCGAUAAGCGCCGGUAAGGUGAUAUGAACCGUUAUAACCGGCGAUACCCGAAUGGGGAAACCCAGUGUGAUUCGUCACACUAUCAUUAACUGAAUCCAUAGGUUAAUGAGGCGAACCGGGGGAACUGAAACAUCUAAGUACCCCGAGGAAAAGAAAUCAACCGAGAUUCCCCCAGUAGCGGCGAGCGAACGGGGAGGAGCCCAGAGCCUGAAUCAGCAUGUGUGUUAGUGGAAGCGUCUGGAAAGGCGCGCGAUACAGGGUGACAGCCCCGUACACAAAAGCGCAUGUGCUGUGAGCUCGAUGAGUAGGGCGGGACACGUGGUAUCCUGUCUGAAUAUGGGGGGACCAUCCUCCAAGGCUAAAUACUCCUGACUGACCGAUAGUGAACCAGUACCGUGAGGGAAAGGCGAAAAGAACCCCGGCGAGGGGAGUGAAAAAGAACCUGAAACCGUGUACGUACAAGCAGUGGGAGCACAGGUUUACCUGUGUGACUGCGUACCUUUUGUAUAAUGGGUCAGCGACUUAUAUUCUGUAGCAAGGUUAACCGAAUAGGGGAGCCGGAGGGAAACCGAGUCUUAAC
RNAcentral lists this ribosomal RNA (656 nucleotides) under Salmonella enterica subsp. enterica serovar Berta. RNAcentral describes it as "partial 23S ribosomal RNA". It matches the Rfam family "Bacterial large subunit ribosomal RNA", at positions 1 to 688 of the family's 2925-position model. Lineage: Bacteria; Pseudomonadati; Pseudomonadota; Gammaproteobacteria; Enterobacterales; Enterobacteriaceae. RNAcentral also lists the same sequence under 2 other names. The record is from RNAcentral.